UUGUCCUCUUUGUCACGAGAACAGCGCCGCAGACCCCUUGGGUCGUUUUUAUUUUCUGGCGAAAAUCGCCACCUCCUCCAUCUUUGUCCAGCAGGCUCCUGAGAAACCCCGUGCCGCCUGCUCGCCGCCUCUCCUCGAAACCCCGAGCCCCUCUUCGUCCCCUCCUUUCUCUCUUCUCCAGUGAAGAUGGAAGCAAGCGAGGACCAAGUGAGCUCCUCAUCUCCUUUGCUCCGGCGAGAACAGCCCCGACCCACCAGCGAGACCCUUCUUCUCUCCUUUGCUUCGACAAGAGCAGCCAACAGUCGCUGGCAAAUUGGACCAACAACCAUCAUCAACCGGAGCGCUGCUCUGACCAGCAAGCCCUAGCGCCGUUCCUCACAUUUUACGGUGAGGACGGCAAAGACGAGCGCCAAUAGAGUCUGGUCAACACACGGUUUGAGAUUUCGAGACGGAUCUUAAUAGAUUAGUGGGUUAGUUUCUUUAGUAGUUAUCUCAUUUCUCAAAUGGCCUUUUGCUUUCCGAUUAGAAGUCUUAUUGCAUGUUUAGAUUGUAAAGUCAUGUAAUUUGUGAAUCUCGUCUUAAGCAUGAACUGUUGUGACUUAUGAUAGCCUAAAUUUGUUCAUUCGCUCUAGCAUUUUGCAAUAGCACCACUUUGAUUCAAUCACAAAUAGAGCUACUGAUUUUUGAGUGUAUUUGAGUAAGAUUUGAUAUGUCAAUGGAUUGCUUUGCUUAAUUUAAUUGAUCAUUCUUUGUGGUUACUUUUGCCUUAAUUUAUUUGAACCACAAACUGUCCAUUUAUGUUGCUACUUGAUUUGAACUGAUUUUACUUCUUUCUUUGAAUUUAUUUGCUUCGCCUGAUUCUCUACUAUAUUAUUAUGUAUUGACUUAUAUUAAUUUAUUUCCUUACCUUAACUGAAUUUUGUGAGAUGUUGUGUUUCUGGUUGUGGUAAAUUGCUACAAUUUUGAUAUUUUAUUGAAGUGAAAGUUUAAAAGAUCAAAGAACUUUAACCAUACUGCUCCUAAUUGUAAUCUUGAAAACUCUAUUGGCACGUCAAGAUGAUAUUUUGAAACAGUUCAGCAGUUUAUGAGCUCAUCCAGAUCAAGGUUAGCCAUAGUAUACUUUAAACAAUAAUAAUUUCAUUACAGCUUGUUUAAUUAAAUAGAAAUAGUUUGUAGCAUUUAACACCUAAUAUAUAACUAUGUUUCAUUUUCAUGAUACAGUGAUCAAUGAACCUUAUCAAGUUAUCCCUUCAGGUUCUGUAAGAUGGAAAUCAGGACUAACUAUUAAUGAAGUGCUUUUGCAAUGAUAUUUUGAGAAGCAACCUUAAUUUUAUUACUUCGUUUCUUUUUAAUGUUUAGUAUAUCUAAGUUACAUUUUUCAAGUUGGACCAAAUUUUGUUGAUGUUAAUUUUUCUUUAAGGCGUAUGUAAUGAGAUAUCAUCUCAUGAAUGUUAUUUUGGUCUUUCCUAAUUAAUAUAUGACGGUGUUUU
This is a long non-coding RNA of Solanum stenotomum, 1490 nucleotides long. RefSeq lists it as uncharacterized. The transcript has 2 exons. NCBI's taxonomy places the organism in Eukaryota, Viridiplantae, Streptophyta, Magnoliopsida, Solanales, Solanaceae. The record is from RefSeq and is a predicted model, not a curated record.